UCCGGUUGAUCCUGCCAGAGGCCGCUGCUAUCCGGCUGGGACUAAGCCAUGCUAGUCUAGGGGCUUGUACCCCUUCGGGGGUGCAAGCACCGGCGGACGGCUCAGUAACACGUGGACAACCUGCCCUCGGGUGGGGGAUAACCCCGGGAAACUGGGGCUAAUCCCCCAUAGGUGAUGGGUGCUGGAAUGCCCCAUCUCCGAAAGCGCUCAGCGCCCGAGGAUGGGUCUGCGGCGGAUUAGGUAGUUGGUGGGGUAACGGCCCACCAAGCCUAAGAUCCGUACGGGCUGUGGGAGCAGGAGCCCGGAGAUGGACCCUGAGACAAGGGUCCAGGCCCUACGGGGCGCAGCAGGCGCGAAACCUCCGCAAUGCGGGAAACCGCGACGGGGUUAGCCGGAGUGCCCGUGCAUUGCACGGGCUGUCGGGGUGCCUAAACAGCACCCCAUAGCAAGGGCCGGGCAAGGCCGGUGGCAGCCGCCGCGGUAAGACCGGCGGCCCGAGUGGCGGCCACUCUUAUUGGGCCUAAAGCGUCCGUAGCCGGCCCAGUAAGUCCCCCGGGAAAUCUGGUCGCUUAACGAUCAGACUUCCGGGGGAUACUGCUGGGCUAGGGACCGGGAGAGGCCGAGGGUAUUCCCGGGGUAGGGGUGAAAUCCUGUAAUCCCGGGAGGACCACCUGUG
Molecule: ribosomal RNA, 676 nt
Filed under: uncultured archaeon
Lineage: Archaea
Description: bacterial SSU rRNA
Rfam family: Archaeal small subunit ribosomal RNA
Source: RNAcentral